UACAUGCAUGUAGCAAUUUUUUCUAAGUAGAUAAUGCUACCCGAACAUGCACUCAAUAAAAAGAUAAUGCUAGUCAUCUUAUAUAUAUCAUCAAAAUUUUGCCUGCACCAAAUUUGUACAAAAACAAAAGACAAAAACACCUUAAUGUGAGAUAUGAUUUUCUAAUCCGGCGGCAGCGCCACUCCCUUGAUAAAUCAUGAGCUUGUGCUCUAGAUUUACAUGCUUGAUCAUUCUCUUCCCCGUCAGCCUCCGCCUCCGAUCCCCAGCCUUGUUGCCCUCCUCCCCUGACCUCCUUGGGCUGCGCCUCUCCCACCUCCUUAUCUGGUAAGUUAUCAUAGUAAUUAGGAAACUAUGGCAUCAUCACACUUAUCAAUGGUAUUAUAGGUCUAUCAAUUCAAAAUAAGUGAAAACAGUGGGUGUUAUCCCAGUUUGCGAAAUAGAUGAAGUUUUACCUUGGCGCUAAAGCUGCUGGAGAACUACAUCGCAAGCAGCCUAGAGGACGAAGUUUCCUUUACUUCCCUUUGAUACUCAUUUGCUCAGCCCCAUGCUUAUCAAUGGUGGCUGCAGAAACUGGAACCAAGGAGCAAGCUAUGCUUUUGCGUCUUUUUCUUGACCCUCCUAAAAAAUCAUUAAACAGUUAGGCAAUUAAUUCAGAAGGGUAAAUGUGAAAAAUUGUAUGUGAUUUUCCUCUCCUUGGAGUGAAUAUCCUAUUUAAAGUCGAAGCAAAGGAGAGCCAAUAUGCUAACAGUUCAUAGCACAAGUUUAACAUAUGUGACCAAAAAAAUGUUGUUGCUGCAUUUUUGCAAAACAUGCCUACCAUGAGAUGAAUAUUAG
Molecule: long non-coding RNA, 834 nt
Filed under: Triticum aestivum (bread wheat)
Lineage: Eukaryota; Viridiplantae; Streptophyta; Magnoliopsida; Poales; Poaceae
Description: long non-coding RNA (TAES_LNC016808)
Source: RNAcentral